RNAcentral lists this long non-coding RNA (692 nucleotides) under Homo sapiens (human). Its description in RNAcentral is "HSALNT0006328". Lineage: Eukaryota; Metazoa; Chordata; Mammalia; Primates; Hominidae. The record is from RNAcentral.
CAGGUCAGACCCAGCUGCUUUUGAGUCCCGCCUGGAGAAACGCAGUGAAUUUCGGAAGCAGCCAGUGGGGCAUUCCAGGCAAGGUGAUUUUAUCAAAUGUGUGGAACAGAAGACAGAUGCCUUGGGGAAACAGUCUGUGAACAGAGGAUUCACUAAGGACAAGGUAGGUUUCUAAUUAAAUAUAGGAAAAAAAGCUUGAAGUCAUAUGGGACAUCUAGAACAAGAGGCUGCAAAUUUGAACAUAAGUACUGUGGCUCAGUGAUUUUGUGUAAGGUGAUUUUCCAGCUGUAGAAGUGAGAAAUAUUUCUAUGAACUUUGUGUCCUUGACCAUGACCCCUAGCAUAGCAGUUUAAUUAAAAAUAACAACCAAACUUUCUCCUCUUACCAGCUGCAAAGUGCCGCAGGACUCAUUGGUAAGGGUGAAGCCUUUGGGAAGUACAUGGCAACCUAAGAGAGACUCCUCAGGAACAGAACUAUGAAAACCUGUCUAGGCUUGGGGGCUCACUUUCUCUGAGCAUGUGGGUUUUCUUAUACUUGUUUUCUACUUUUGGAAAUCUGUUUCAUUGUCCUGACAUGUUUGCCACAGGCUUAGAGAUAGAGUUAAGCUGUUUUUUUUUUUUUUUAAUUAUGUGUUAAUUGCUUUUUAUUGUCUCUUUCAAGACUCUCAGUUCAAUCUUUAACAUUGAGAUGGU